GCUCACAGCCUCACUCCCCCCUCUUCCUUGAUCAUCCCUCGCACGCUCCCCACUCAGAGCUUUGGCACGGUGCCUGCUGUUCCUCCACCUGGAACAUUCUUUUUGCAGGGAUCCACGGACCUGGCUCCCUCAUCUCCCCCAACUCUCAUCUUCCCAGGGGGUUCUUCCUGAAUCACUCCACACAAAGCCACAGUACCCCUCCCCAACCCUCAGUACCGACCCUCUACCCUCUUUUCACAUACUAUGCAUUUUGAUUCCUGUACACUGUGUAGCUCACCACAUCAAGUGGUGACAUUUAUGAAGCU
This 305-nucleotide long non-coding RNA is filed under the name Homo sapiens (human). Its description in RNAcentral is "non-protein coding lnc-CCT5-12:1". Lineage: Eukaryota; Metazoa; Chordata; Mammalia; Primates; Hominidae. The record is from RNAcentral.